ACCACAAAAAAACUCUUUCACUUUCUACCUCGGUUCCUUCUCCAUUCAACUCUUUCAUUUUCUCUUUCUAUUUCUCAUCUCAGAGAAAAACUCUCUGCAAAAUCAAAAAAUGGAGAUCGUUUUUAGCCGAAAUCCAAAUCUUACCUCAUAGUUCUUUCUCCGUUCAACAUAAAUCCUCCCAUCUCAGAAACUCUCCUCAAAUCAACCUAUUAACAGGAAGUGUAUCAAACCGCAGAUCCAGUUCAAAGGGUAGUCAGAAAUUCUCUCUAUAGUGCUCAUAUAACUGCAUUGAUGAAAACAAAUCUCACAGCAAUGGGAAAGAAUAAGGUAACAGUAAAGAAAAAGCAGCUCAAGCAGUUUCCAAUCAAGAUGAAGAAGCAACUGAAGAGCAAGUCCGAAUCUGAUAAUGCAUCUCCACCUGAAUCUGCUACACUUACUUCAAAGUGCCGAACACCAAGAAAUAGCAA
Molecule: long non-coding RNA, 467 nt
Organism: Papaver somniferum (opium poppy)
Lineage: Eukaryota; Viridiplantae; Streptophyta; Magnoliopsida; Ranunculales; Papaveraceae
Exons: 4
Source: RefSeq, a predicted model, not a curated record